This 410-nucleotide long non-coding RNA is filed under the name Salvia miltiorrhiza (redroot sage). RNAcentral's name for it is "long non-coding RNA (SMIL_LNC008956)". The record is from RNAcentral. Lineage: Eukaryota; Viridiplantae; Streptophyta; Magnoliopsida; Lamiales; Lamiaceae.
UGUAGCAUAAUUCAUGCAAGGAAUUUGAGAAUAUUAUUAGUUAUUAUGUGCAUGAUUGCAGGAAAUAAUUAGGAUGUGAUAUUUAUUGUUUUGAUCAAAAUUGAAAUAUUUUACUGAUAUGUAGUGUGUAGUGGUUUUAUGUUGCAGGCACUUUUUUUUUCAUCCCAUAUAUAUAUCUGAAUAUGGUUUUGGGAAAUGAAUUGGUGAGGAAGGCAUUGAAUUUGAAGAUAUGUGUUUGAGUUUUUCAUUUUUUUUCUUGUAUUUUUUUCUUUGAUCAAAUGUGUUUUUCUCUGGUGUAGAAAUAGGAUUAUGUGUUUUUUCUUGUUCUUCCCUAGCAAGUGAUUAGUACGUGUAGCAUGAUUUAUUAUAUUAAUUUAAUAUUUAAAAAAAUUAUUGUAUGAAAAAAAUCU